AGAAAUCGUUAAGGGCGUAUGGCGGAUGCCUAGGCUUUCAGAGGCGAAGAAGGACGUGGUAAGCUGCGAAAAGCUACGGGGAUUGGCACACACGAAAUGAUCCGUAGAUAUCCGAAUGGGGCAACCCAGUAAGUUGAAGACUUACUACACCGUAAGGUGAGCGAACCCGGAGAACUGAAACAUCUAAGUACCCGGAGGAAAAGAAAUCGAAGAGAUUCCGUAAGUAGUGGCGAGCGAAAGCGGAUUAGCCCAAAAGUUUAUACAUGUUUAGUGGAAUGUUUUGGAAAGAGCAAUCAUAGAAGGUGAAAAUCCUGUACACGAAAGGCAUAUAUAGAUGAAGAAAGAGUAGGGCGGGACACGUGAAAUCCUGUCUGAAUAUGGGGGGACCAUCCUCCAAGGCUAAAUACUCCUGAAAGACCGAUAGUGAACAAGUACUGUGAAGGAAAGGUGAAAAGCACUUCGAAUAGAAGGGUGAAAGAGAACCUGAAACCGUACGCCUACAAGCGGUCGGAGCAGUUAUAUACUGUGACGGCGUGCCUUUUGCAUAAUGAGCCUACGAGUUAAUUUUACUAGCGAGGUUAAGGCAUUAAGUGCCGGAGCCGGAGCGAAAGCGAGUCUGAAUAGGGCGAAUAGUUAGUGGGAUUAGACGCGAAACCUUGUGAUCUACCCAUGGGCAGGUUGAAGCACUGGUAACACAGUGUGGAGGACCGAACCGGUUGACGUUGAAAAGUCUUCGGAUGACCUGUGGGUAGGGGUGAAAGGCCAAUCAAACUGGGAGAUAGCUCGUACUCCCCGAAAUGCAUUUAGGUGCAGCGUUGAUUUAGUUUAUUAGAGGUAGAGCUACUGAUUGGAUGCGGGGGUUUCACCGCCUACCAAUUCCUGACAAACUCCGAAUGCUAAUAAAUAAUGAUCAGCAGUGAGGGCAUGGGUGCUAAGGUCCAUGUCCGAGAGGGAAAGAACCCAGACCAACAGCUAAGGUCCCUAAAUAUAUGCUAAGUUGAAACAACGCGGUUGAACUGCAUUGACAGCUAGGAUGUUGGCUUGGAAGCAGCCAUUCAUUUAAAGAGUGCGUAACAGCUCACUAGUCGAGCGGUUCGGCAUGGAUAAUAAUCGGGCAUAAGCAUAUUACCGAAGCUAUGGCAACGAAAGUUGGGUAGGGGAGCAUUCUAUCGGCGCAGAAGCAUCACUGUGAGGUGAUGUGGAGCUUAUAGAAAAGAAAAUGUAGGCAUAAGUAACGAUAAAGCAGGCGAGAAACCUGCUCACCGAAAGACUAAGGGUUCCUCAGCCAUGCUAAUCAGCUGAGGGUUAGUCGGGACCUAACGCGAACCCGAGAGGGGAAGUGGAUGGACAAUGGGUUAAUAUUCCCAUACUUGCUCACGAAUAAAGGGGACGGUUCAGCUAGACUACUGGAGACUGACGGAAUAGUCAAGACCUAGCCUACGGGCGAAGUUGUUGUAGAGUAACUGGAUCCAAGAAAAGCCGAAGUGAAGCAACCCGUACCAUAAACCGACACAGGUAGUCGAGGAGAGAAUCCUAAGGUGCUCGAGUGAGUCGUGGCUAAGGAACUAGGCAAAAUAGUCUCGUAACUUCGGAAUAAGAGACGCCAACAGCGAUGUUGGCCGCAGUGAAGAGGCCCAGGCGACUGUUUAUCAAAAACACAGGACUCUGCUAAAUCGAAAGAUGCUGUAUAGGGUCUGACACCUGCCCGGUGCUGGAAGGUUAAGGAAGGUGCUUAGCGUAAGCGAAGGCAUUGACUGAAGCCCCAGUAAACGGCGGCCGUAACUAUAACGGUCCUAAGGUAGCGAAAUUCCUUGUCGGGUAAGUUCCGACCUGCACGAAUGGUGUAACGAUCUGGGCACUGUCUCAACCGCGAGCUCGGUGAAAUUGUAGUAUCGGUGAAGAUGCCGAUUACCCGCAACGGGACGAAAAGACCCCGUGAACCUUUACUAUAGCUUUGCAUUGGAUUUGGGUAACAAAUGUGUAGGAUAGGCCGGAGGCUGAGAAGUGGGCACGCCAGUGCUUGUGGAGCCGCCGUUGAAAUACGGCCCUUUUGUUAUUUGGGUUCUAACUCGCUUGAGCGAGGACAUUGCAUGGUGGGUAGUUUGACUGGGGUGGUCGCCUCCAAAAGCGUAACGGAGGCUUCUAAAGGUUCCCUCAGCACGCUUGGUAACCGUGCGUAGAGUG
RNAcentral lists this ribosomal RNA (2184 nucleotides) under human metagenome. RNAcentral describes it as "bacterial LSU rRNA". It matches the Rfam family "Bacterial large subunit ribosomal RNA", at positions 1 to 2351 of the family's 2925-position model. The record is from RNAcentral.